RNAcentral lists this ribosomal RNA (498 nucleotides) under uncultured bacterium. RNAcentral describes it as "partial 16S ribosomal RNA". It matches the Rfam family "Bacterial small subunit ribosomal RNA", at positions 28 to 507 of the family's 1533-position model. The record is from RNAcentral.
GACGAACGCUGGCGGCGUGCCUAAUACAUGCAAGUCGAACGAGAGCGACCGGUGCUUGCCCUGGUCAAUCUAGUGGCGAACGGGUGAGUAACACGUGGGUAACCUGCCCAUCAGAGGGGGAUAACAUCCGGAAACGGAUGCUAGAACCGCAUAGGUCUUCGAGCCGCAUGGCUUGAAGAGGAAAAGAGGCGCAAGCUUCUGCUGAUGGAUGGACCCGCGGUGCAUUAGCUAGUUGGUGAGGUAACGGCUCACCAAGGCCGUGAUGCAUAGCCGACCUGAGAGGGUGAUCGGCCACAUUGGGACUGAGACACGGCCCAAACUCCUACGGGAGGCAGCAGUAGGGAAUCUUCCGCAAUGGACGCAAGUCUGACGGAGCAACGCCGCGUGAGUGAAGAAGGUUUUCGGAUCGUAAAACUCUGUUGUUAGAGAAGAACAAGUGCUAGAGUAACUGUUAGCGCCUUGACGGUAUCUAACCAGAAAGCCACGGCUAACUACGUG